GUGGGUGUAGCUCAGCGGCAGAGCGCUGGACUGUGGCUCCAGGUGCCGGGGGUUCAAAUCCCCUCACCCACC
RNAcentral lists this transfer RNA (72 nucleotides) under bacterium. RNAcentral's name for it is "tRNA-His". It matches the Rfam family "tRNA". From Rfam's summary of the family: Transfer RNA (tRNA) molecules are approximately 80 nucleotides in length. Their secondary structure includes four short double-helical elements and three loops (D, anti-codon, and T loops). The record is from RNAcentral.